UCCUGCUCCAGGCUCUCAAGUAGCUGAGAUUACAGACUAACGAUCUUCUGUUGGUCCCUUCUGGUAGGGCCGAGGAGACCCCAGCAUCACGAAUUAAUUUGGGAUUACAGCCAAGCAAGUUUAAUGUUUCGAAAUAUCAUACACAAUGCAGCUGAGCGCCAAUUUUAUUCCCUGGGUUAGUACUAAUCAGCAAAAUGUACGUAAGGGCCUCAAGAACAGACUGCCCUGAACGUUCCUGUGUGUUGCUCCAGGUCAGUGGGUCUUCCUGCUCUCAUCCUACGCCCACCCACACCCCUCCUGUCCAUGCCACUGGCUUUCAGCAUGUCUUCUCUCCAUGACUCUAACAGCUUCAUAACUGGCUAGUUUGCCUCCCAACAACUCACCCUGCCUUCUGCUGCCAGAAUAUAUUUUCUACAAAAGCAGAGCUGAUUAGGCCAUUUUCCUGCUUACAGGCUUUUGUUGCUCCCCAUGGCUUCCAGGGUGCAGUUCAAAUGUUUAUAGGUACCACACAAGACCCUUCCUGGUUUUCCCCUGCCAAUCUCCUAGCCUCAUUACCUGUUGCUCAUCUGCCUGCCACACAUAAAGACUUGCUAAUUCCCAAACACAUCAUACUGUUGCAUAUUUCCAUGAGUCUGUACUUGCUGUUCCCUUGAACUAAAAUGCCCUUUCCUC
RNAcentral lists this long non-coding RNA (672 nucleotides) under Homo sapiens (human). RNAcentral describes it as "HSALNT0339775". Lineage: Eukaryota; Metazoa; Chordata; Mammalia; Primates; Hominidae. The record is from RNAcentral.